GACGAACGCUGGCGGCGUGCUUAACACAUGCAAGUCGAACGGAAAGGCCCUGCUUUUGUGGGGUGCUCGAGUGGCGAACGGGUGAGUAACACGUGAGUAACCUGCCCUUGACUUUGGGAUAACUUCAGGAAACUGGGGCGAAUACCGGAUAGGAGCUCCUGCUGCAUGGUGGGGGUUGGAAAGUUUCGGCGGUUGGGGAUGGACUCGCGGCUUAUCAGCUUGUUGGUGGGGUAGUGGCUUACCAAGGCUUUGACGGGUAGCCGGCCUGAGAGGGUGACCGGGCACAAUGGGACUGAGAGAGGCCGCAGAAUCCUACGGGAGGCAGCAGUGGGGAAUCUUGCGCAAUGGGCGGAAGCCUGAUGCAGCAACGCUGCGUGCGGGAUGCCGGGCUUCGGGUUGUAAACCGCUUUCGCCGGUGACGAAGCGUGAGUGACGGUAAUGAGUAAAGAAGCACCGGCUAACUACGUG
RNAcentral lists this ribosomal RNA (468 nucleotides) under uncultured bacterium. RNAcentral describes it as "partial 16S ribosomal RNA". It matches the Rfam family "Bacterial small subunit ribosomal RNA", at positions 28 to 507 of the family's 1533-position model. The record is from RNAcentral.